RNAcentral lists this transfer RNA (74 nucleotides) under Bacteroidales bacterium. RNAcentral describes it as "tRNA-His". It matches the Rfam family "tRNA". Rfam says of the family: Transfer RNA (tRNA) molecules are approximately 80 nucleotides in length. Their secondary structure includes four short double-helical elements and three loops (D, anti-codon, and T loops). Lineage: Bacteria; Pseudomonadati; Bacteroidota; Bacteroidia; Bacteroidales. The record is from RNAcentral.
GCGGAUGUAGCUCAGUUGGUUAGAGUACCGGAUUGUGGUUCCGAGGGUCGUGGGUUCGAGUCCCAUCUUCCGCC